GCUGCACGGAGCAACAAAGCGUGAGUGAUGAAGGUCUUCGGAUGGUAAACGUCUUUUAUCAGGGAAGAACAAAUGUGUACGUAAGUGUGCAAAUCUUGACGGUACGCAAUCAGAAAGCCACGGCUAUAUACGUCCCCGCAGGCGCUGUAAUAUGUGGGGCGCAAGCGUUCUCCGGAUUUUUUGGGUGUAAAGCUCGUGUGGGCGGUUUUUUAUGUGUUAUGUGAAAGCGCGCGUUUCAACCGUGGAGGGUCAUUGGAACGGGGAAAAUAGGAGUCCAGAAGGGGAAAGUGGAUUUCCAGGGGUACCGGUGAAAUGGCCAGAGACAGGGAGGACCCCCAGUGGGGAGGCAGGUUUUUUGGUCUGUAACUGCCGUGGAGAUGGGAAACCGGGGGGAUCAACCAGGUUUAGAUACCUUGUUGGUCCACCCGGUAACCGUGGAGUGUUAAGUGUAGGGCGUUUCCCC
This 463-nucleotide ribosomal RNA is filed under the name Caryophanales bacterium. RNAcentral describes it as "bacterial SSU rRNA". It matches the Rfam family "Bacterial small subunit ribosomal RNA", at positions 381 to 836 of the family's 1533-position model. The record is from RNAcentral. Lineage: Bacteria; Bacillati; Bacillota; Bacilli; Caryophanales.